Molecule: ribosomal RNA, 434 nt
Filed under: uncultured bacterium
Lineage: Bacteria
Description: bacterial SSU rRNA
Rfam family: Bacterial small subunit ribosomal RNA
Source: RNAcentral
GCUUAACACAUGCAAGUCGAACGAGAUCUUCGGAUCUAGUGGCAGACGGGUGAGUAACGCGUGGGAACCUGCCCUUUAGUAGAGAAUAACUCGGGGAAACUCGAGCUAAUACUUUAUACGCCCUUCGGGGGAAAGCUUUAUGCGCUAUUGGAUGGGCCCGCGUUAGAUUAGUUUGUUGGUGAGGUAACGGCUCACCAAGGCGACGAUCUAUAGCUGGUCUGAGAGGAUGAUCAGCCACACUGGGACUGAGACACGGCCCAGACUCCUACGGGAGGCAGCAGUGGGGAAUAUUGGACAAUGGGGGCAACCCUGAUCCAGCGAUGCCGCGUGAGUGAUGAAGGCCCUAGGGUUGUAAAGCUCUUUUGUCAGGGAAGAUAAUGACGGUACCUGAAGAAUAAGAUCCGGCUAACUCCGUGCCAGCAGCCGCGGUAAUA